AGUACACCUUUUGCUGCAGACAAGCUACUUUAUAAAUGGUUGAGAAAAUAUGACAGCAAAUAUGGAAAGGAAAUGUUACAUGCAUUGUGAGCCUCUUCAUCAUGGAAAUGCAUUUGGAGAAUUUGCUCUAGGGGUUGAAUUUCCUUUCAUAAUCUGGAAAAUGUGAAUAGGCUGAAAUUAUAAGGUGGAGAAGAAGAAGGUGAAAUCCAUCAAUAGGCAUAAACGAGUGGAGUGGGUUCCUAUCAAUUAGGUCGAUUCUCUCCCUUCUUCUCUGUUUACUUCCUUUUCUCUUCUUACUUGCAAUUCAAUUCUCUACUGUUUGCUUCAUUUAAA
This is a long non-coding RNA of Prunus persica (peach), 333 nucleotides long. RefSeq lists it as uncharacterized. The transcript is spliced from 2 exons. NCBI's taxonomy places the organism in Eukaryota, Viridiplantae, Streptophyta, Magnoliopsida, Rosales, Rosaceae. The record is from RefSeq and is a predicted model, not a curated record.